AUUGAACGCUGGCGGCAUGCCUUACACAUGCAAGUCGAACGGCAGCACGGGAGCUUGCUCCUGAUGGCGAGUGGCGAACGGGUGAGUAAUGCAUCGGAACGUACCCGGAAGUGGGGGAUAACGUAGCGAAAGUUACGCUAAUACCGCAUAUUCUGUGAGCAGGAAAGAGGGGGAUCGCAAGACCUAUCGCUUUCGGAGCGGCCGAUGUCGGAUUAGCUAGUUGGUGGGGUAAAGGCCUACCAAGGCGACGAUCCGUAGCGGGUCUGAGAGGAUGAUCCGCCACACUGGAACUGAGACACGGUCCAGACUCCUACGGGAGGCAGCAGUGGGGAAUUUUGGACAAUGGGCGAAAGCCUGAUCCAGCCAUGCCGCGUGAGUGAAGAAGGCCUUCGGGUUGUAAAGCUCUUUCGGCUGAAAAGAAAUCGCACAGGCUAAUACCCUGUGUGGAUGACGGUAUCAGCAUAAGAAGCACCGGCUAACUACGUGCCAGCCGCCGCAGUAA
This 502-nucleotide ribosomal RNA is filed under the name uncultured bacterium. Its description in RNAcentral is "partial 16S ribosomal RNA". It matches the Rfam family "Bacterial small subunit ribosomal RNA", at positions 30 to 523 of the family's 1533-position model. The record is from RNAcentral.